Non-coding RNA from Coffea arabica (coffee), 537 nucleotides. The record is from RefSeq and is a predicted model, not a curated record. NCBI's taxonomy places the organism in Eukaryota, Viridiplantae, Streptophyta, Magnoliopsida, Gentianales, Rubiaceae.
UAUCUCACUGGUUUAACAUUUUGUGGUGAUCAAGAAUGUGCUGAUAAAUGGUUGUUUGUCUUGUGAGCCAUCACAUGCUCAUUUGCUCUCACCUGUGUUUCAGGUUUUAUAUGUUGAUGGUGAUCAGGAGAUUUUGAAUCUGAAAAAAGAACGUUGGUUUCUGCUUGAUGACCAAGAGAAAAAGGGCAGCCUUACAAGUUCUGAUGCUGCUGCUGUUCGAUCCCGAACUCGAGGCCGAAAACGUGGUAGGAAGUCAGCAGCAAGAUCUGCUCUGGAUAUUCUUCACAUCAAAACCGAAAUCGAUGUUUUGGCAAAGGAUGAUGAAGAAUCAAAGGAUGAGGAGGAGAAUCUCAGAAGUGAAACUCUCACGGAUGCAAGUAAAUCUAGCAACUAGAAGCUUAGCUGCACAAUCUAAAAAAGCAUCUCAGCAAUAACUCAACUGAUAUGCAUGGCAAAUCGCUAUUAUCGCAUCUUGAGAGUGGCAGAUUAAACUGCUCAAAACAAUAUAUGAGAAUAUCAUAAAGCUAACAUCAUGGC